GAUGAACGCUGGCGGCGUGCCUAAUACAUGCAAGUCGAGCGAACGGACGAGAAUUUUGCUUCUCUGAUGUUAGCGGCGGACGGGUGAGUAACACGUGGAUAACCUACCUAUAAGACUGGGAUAACUUCGGGAAACCGUAGCUAAUACCGGAUAAUAUUUUGAACCGCAUGGUUCAAAAGUGAAAGACGGUCUUGCUGUCACUUAUAGAUGGAUCCGCGCUGCAUUAGCUAGUUGGUAAGGUAACGGCUUACCAAGGCAACGAUGCAUAGCCGACCUGAGAGGGGGAUCGGCCACACGGGAACGGGGACAGGGACAAGACGCCUGCGGGAGGCAGCAGUAGGGAAUGGGACGCAGUGGUCGAAAGCCUGACGGAGCAACGCCGCGUGAGUGGUAAAGGUCUUCGGAUCGUAAAACUCUGUUAUUAGGGAAGAACAUAUGUGUAAGUAGCUGUGCACAUCUUGACGGUACCUAAUCAGAAAGCCACGGCUAACUACGUG
This 497-nucleotide ribosomal RNA is filed under the name uncultured bacterium. RNAcentral describes it as "partial 16S ribosomal RNA". It matches the Rfam family "Bacterial small subunit ribosomal RNA", at positions 28 to 507 of the family's 1533-position model. The record is from RNAcentral.